GUGGGCGCAACAAUUGGUAUUAGAGCAAGGUGGUGCCAGAGCAUAGGUUGCAGCAAUGAUGAUCGAGAUAGAAGAUGGAGAAGAUGGAAAGAGCAAUUUCUUCCUCUGACAGGCGAGGGUGAAAGACGUGCUCAUCCAGCAAGGGUUGAUCGAUGCUCUCUUGUAUGAUGAGAAGCCGACCAUUAUGGAGAUGCAGGAUUGG
Molecule: long non-coding RNA, 202 nt
Filed under: Elaeis guineensis (African oil palm)
Lineage: Eukaryota; Viridiplantae; Streptophyta; Magnoliopsida; Arecales; Arecaceae
Description: long non-coding RNA (EGUI_LNC021122)
Source: RNAcentral